AACGCACCUUGCGCUCCUUGGUAUUCCGAGGAGCAUGCCUGUUUGAGUGUCAUGAAAUCUUCAACUUACAGACCUUUGCGGGUUUGUAGGCUUGGACUUUGGAGGCUUGUCGGCCGUGUUUUGGUCGGCUCCUCUUAAAUGUAUUAGCUUGAUUCCUUGCGGAUCGGCUCUCGGUGUGAUAAUGUCUACGCCGCGACCGUGAAGCGUUUUGGCGAGCUUCUAACCGUCUCGUUUGUGAGACAGCUUUAUGACCUCUGACCUCAAAUCAGGUAGGACUACCCGCUGAACUUAA
RNAcentral lists this unclassified non-coding RNA (292 nucleotides) under uncultured Ganoderma. RNAcentral's name for it is "sequence contains ITS2". The stretch from base 1 to 52 matches the Rfam family "5.8S ribosomal RNA", at positions 103 to 154 of the family's 154-position model. Lineage: Eukaryota; Fungi; Basidiomycota; Agaricomycetes; Polyporales; Polyporaceae. The record is from RNAcentral.